UACGUAGGGUGCGAGCGUUUGUCCGGAAUUAUUGGGCGUAAAGAGCUUGUAGGCGGUUUGUCGCGUCUGCUGUGAAAAUCCGGGGCUCAACCCCGGACUUGCAGUGGGUACGGGCAGACUAGAGUGUGGUAGGGGAGACUGGAAUUCCUGGUGUAGCGGUGAAAUGCGCAGAUAUCAGGAGGAACACCGAUGGCGAAGGCAGGUCUCUGGGCCACUACUGACGCUG
This 226-nucleotide ribosomal RNA is filed under the name uncultured bacterium. RNAcentral describes it as "partial 16S ribosomal RNA". It matches the Rfam family "Bacterial small subunit ribosomal RNA", at positions 524 to 748 of the family's 1533-position model. The record is from RNAcentral.